Molecule: ribosomal RNA, 680 nt
Filed under: uncultured bacterium
Lineage: Bacteria
Description: bacterial SSU rRNA
Rfam family: Bacterial small subunit ribosomal RNA
Source: RNAcentral
UGCCCAAUCGUGGGGGAUAACGCAGCGAAAGCUGUGCUAAUACCGCAUACGAUCUACGGAUGAAAGCGGGGGACCUUCGGGCCUCGCGCGAUUGGAGCGGCCGAUGUUAGAUUAGGUAGUUGGUGGGGUAAAGGCUCACCAAGCCGACGAUCUAUAGCUGGUCUGAGAGGACGACCAGCCACACUGGAACUGAGACACGGUCCAGACUCCUACGGGAGGCAGCAGUGGGGAAUUUUGGACAAUGGGCGCAAGCCUGAUCCAGCAAUACCGCGUGCAGGAAGAAGGCCUUCGGGUUGUAAACUGCUUUUGUACGGAACGAAAAGGCUCUUUUUAAUAAAGAGGGCUCAUGACGGUACCGUAAGAAUAAGCACCGGCUAACUACGUGCCAGCAGCCGCGGUAAUACGUAGGGUGCGAGCGUUAAUCGGAAUUACUGGGCGUAAAGCGUGCGCAGGCGGUUUUGUAAGACAGACGUGAAAUCCCCGGGCUCAACCUGGGAAUUGCGUUUGUGACUGCAAGGCUAGAGUACGGUAGAGGGGGGUAGAAUUCCGCGUGUAGCAGUGAAAUGCGUAGAUAUGCGGAGGAACACCGAUGGCGAAGGCAGCCCCCUGGACCUGUACUGACGCUCAUGCACGAAAGCGUGGGGAGCAAACAGGAUUAGAUACCCUGGUAGUCCACGCCC